GGAUUGGGAUAUUCCGACUCCUUAAGGGCCUGGCGCACAUAAGGUGUGACCUUUUCAUUCCCGUUGUUAUGGAGGUAGGCUCUCUAGGAAUCUGGGAGUAGUAGCUGGGGGGCAAGAGCAAAUAAAGAGCUCGAGCUUCUGUGGUCUCUGGGGAGAUGUUCCCGGGAAGCCUGUCUAGAGGGCGGAGGGCAGCUGUUGAGAUGGCGUGGCUCCCCGGCUCCUGCGCCCGCGUGGCUUUCGCGGCGGGCGCUGCGGCCCGGUAUUGGACAGCCUGGCAGGGCAGCGCGGGGCCGAAUCCGGCUGCCGUGGCUGAGGCUCAUGGAUCACUCUUUUGUGGUAGGGCCACAUCUGCCAGAGCCUGGAGUCUGCGAAGGCCGGGACCCGGUUCCCCGGCCCACAGUGGGGGUGUGCAAACCCGAGAGAACUGGAUUGCGUACCCACUGCAGAGUGCUGAAGACGGGGUAGCCACGAGGUUGCAAAUUCGUGAAGAAUCAGCAUCAUGUUUGGCAGCUGAGUAUUGGAGCCAGGAGCCUGCCAUGAGGUUAUAUUCCCAGAGGAUGUCAGUCCCAAGGACCAGUAGCUGCCAUCAGUUUGGAUUCUGAAAACUAACUGGCAUCAACACUGGGUGUAGAAACAUGCUUGCCUUAUGUAUCAGAGGACAUGCUCAGCAGAUCCAAGAGAUAUAUUUGGCAACUUUUUCUAGAAAAGGCACAUUGGGUAUCAUUCAUUACAUUCUUGAGUUUUUUUGGGUUUUUUUUUUUUUUUUUGAGACAGUCUUGCUGUAUUGCCCAGGCUGGAGUGUGGUGGCACAAUCACAGCUCAUUGCAUCCUCAAUCACCCAGGCCUAAGCAAUCCUCCCACCUUGUAGCUGGGACUACAGCUCACAGCACACCUGGCUAAAAUUUUUUUUUUGUUGAGACGGAUUCUCUAUGUUGCCCAGGCUGGUCUCAGGCUCCUGGGCUCAGAUGGUCCUCCUGCCUCAGCUUCCAAAGGCACAGGCCAAGUUGUAGCUUUGUCCCUUGCCAUCAUGCCCAACAAGAGGUUCUAUACCUUUUAAUGAAUUGACUUUCAUAAAUUGGUUAUGUUGGUGGGCAAAGUUCUUUAAGCUGGAAAUUGUAAAUUCCUCCUGAAAUGUUUUUUCAUGCAGUUACCAUGAACUAAUACUACAAUAAAGGAUGGUCUUGGGUGUCAAUUCUUGAA
RNAcentral lists this long non-coding RNA (1200 nucleotides) under Homo sapiens (human). RNAcentral describes it as "non-protein coding LRRC75A-AS1:6". The record is from RNAcentral. Lineage: Eukaryota; Metazoa; Chordata; Mammalia; Primates; Hominidae.